Molecule: long non-coding RNA, 331 nt
Filed under: Elaeis guineensis (African oil palm)
Lineage: Eukaryota; Viridiplantae; Streptophyta; Magnoliopsida; Arecales; Arecaceae
Description: long non-coding RNA (EGUI_LNC049638)
Source: RNAcentral
GAAAAAUCUACGAAUGUACUACCGAUAACUUUGCCUUAAAUAAAAGUUUCUUUCAUAUUUGCAUAUCUUUUCUUUUGGCAUGAGCUCAUAAUAACAGGGAGUAGCUCCUUCCGACAAUCAAAACCAAGCGUGUUAGGAACAGGAGGAGGACCUCGUCCUAACACAAGCAAAGUCGAAGGUCUGAUUAUUUAAAGAUCGAAUGGGGGGAGAGGCCCUGACAACGGCCCUUACGUGCCCCCACAACCAUGUUAGGAAUAGGAGGAGAACCUCGUCCUAACAUGAGCAAAGUCAAAGACCCGAUUAUUUAAAGAUCAGAUGGAGGGAGAGGCCC